RNAcentral lists this ribosomal RNA (468 nucleotides) under uncultured bacterium. RNAcentral describes it as "partial 16S ribosomal RNA". It matches the Rfam family "Bacterial small subunit ribosomal RNA", at positions 28 to 507 of the family's 1533-position model. The record is from RNAcentral.
GACGAACGCUGGCGGCGUGCUUAACACAUGCAAGUCGAACGGAAAGGCCCUGCUUGUGUGGGCUGCUCGAGGGGCGAACGGGUGAGUAACACGUGAGUAACCUGCCCUUGACUGUGGGAUAACUUCAGGAAACUGGGGAUAAUACCUGAUAGGAGCUCCUGCUGCAUGGGGGGGGUUGGAAAGUUUAGGCGGUUGGGGGUGGACGCGCGGCUUAUGAGCUAGUUGGUUGGGGAGUGGCUUACCCAGGCUUAGAAGGGUAGCCGGCCUGAGAGGUUGACCGGCGACAAGGGGACUGCGGGAGGGACCAGAGUCGAACGGUAGGCAGUAGGGGGGAGUAUGGCACAGCGGGGCGAAGUCUGUGGCGACAGCGUCGCGUUCGGGAAGCCGGCUUUGCGGGAGUGAAAAGCAUUCGCCUGAGACGAAGCGUGGGUGACGGUAAUGGGUAAAGAAGCACCGGCUAACUACGUG